RNAcentral lists this ribosomal RNA (429 nucleotides) under Bacillota bacterium. RNAcentral's name for it is "Firmicutes bacterium partial 16S ribosomal RNA". It matches the Rfam family "Bacterial small subunit ribosomal RNA", at positions 355 to 776 of the family's 1533-position model. The record is from RNAcentral. Lineage: Bacteria; Bacillati; Bacillota.
UAGGGAAUCUUCGGCAAUGGACGGAAGUCUGACCGAGCAACGCCGCGUGAGUGAAGAAGGUUUUCGGAUCGUAAAGCUCUGUUGUUAGAGAAGAACGUUGGUAGGAGUGGAAAAUCUACCAAGUGACGGUAACUAACCAGAAAGGGACGGCUAACUACGUGCCAGCAGCCGCGGUAAUACGUAGGUCCCGAGCGUUGUCCGGAUUUAUUGGGCGUAAAGCGAGCGCAGGCGGUUCUUUAAGUCUGAAGUUAAAGGCAGUGGCUUAACCAUUGUACGCUUUGGAAACUGGAGGACUUGAGUGCAGAAGCGGAGAGUGGAAUUCCAUGUGUAGCGGUGAAAUGCGUAGAUAUAUGGAGGAACACCGGUGGCGAAAGCGGCUCUCUGGUCUGUAACUGACGCUGAUGCUCGAAAGCGUGGGGAGCAAACAGG